GAAAGAAAAGAAUCGCCGGAGAGGAAGAAGGGAGAGAGAUGGAGGAGAGAAGAGAGGAAAAUGGAAUUUUUUUUUUAAUGUUAGAGAGAAAGGGUUGGCUGUGGUAAAUGGGAGAGAGAGAGAGAGAGAAAGAGGAGGUAGUUGGAAGUAUUAAAAGGUUAGAGUAGAAUUAUAUUGUUUGUUUAGGAGUAGUUUCGGUAUUUUUAUAAAUAUUUUUAAAUGAGAAAACUGUUUUUGUGGGAAUCAGUUUUGAGAAGCAGCUUUUUUCUGCUUCUACUUUUAGAGGUUGAAAAAUCAGUUUUCUAAUUCUUAGAAGUAGAAUCAGUUUUUAAAAUUUUCAUUGCCAAAUGCUUUACUGAGCCCAAAAUCACUUUUGGGCUCAGAAUCACUUUUAAAAAGCUUGGCCAAACACCCCCUAAACCUCGCACUAUUACAGUUGGGUCAGAGCCACUCUUGGGCUAAAUUAUUGAACAAGGCCAGGCUUUACGAAGUGGGAACAAGGUUUGUUGUAUGGGCCAGGGUUGAGCCAUGCAUUAGCCCAACCCAUAGCUGGUCUUCCAGAUCUAAACACAUGAGUGUCAAUGUGCUUAAUUUUCAGCUAAACGCUUGCCGAACACAAUUUUAGACAAAUAUUAUUUAAGUUCUCCAAAUAAAAAAUCUAGAGCUUGGUUCAAGUGUCACUACUUGAAAUACUAAAGGCUUGCAACUUGAAGUGAUUAAUCAACCAGUGAGAAAUGCAGAGAGAAGUGCCACGUCGGCAACGACCCCGGCGCGGCCGGACCCACGCCACGCUGGCAACGACCCCGGAUUCGACCCCGGCGCGGCCAGACCCACGUCACCCCGGCCCUGUCUUUGCUGGAUCCGGCAACGACCCCGGAUCCGACCCCAUCGCGGUCGGACCCACGCCAUGCCGGCAACGACCCCGGAUCCGACCCCGGCGCGGCCGGACCCACGCCACCCCGGCCCUGUCUUUGCCGGAUCCGGCCCCGGCGCAGCCGGACCCACGCCACGCCGGCAACGACCCCGAAUCCAACCCCGGAUCCAGCAAAGACAGUGAGGGAGAGAGAGAAAGUUGUAAAAAAAAAAAGAAAAAAAGAGAGUAUCUUCUUUGGAGGUUCGCCGGAGAGGAGGUUUGUCGGAAAGAAAAGAAUCGCCGGAGAGGAAGAAGGGAGAGAGAUGGAGGAGAGAAGAGAGGAAAAUGGAAUUUUUUUUUUAAUGUUAGAGAGAAAGGGUUGGCUGUGGUAAAUGGGAGAGAGAGAGAGAGAGAAAGAGGAGGUAGUUGGAAGUAUUAAAAGGUUAGAGUAGAAUUAUAUUGUUUGUUUAGGAGUAGUUUCGGUAUUUUUAUAAAUAUUUUUAAAUGAGAAAACUGUUUUUGUGGGAAUCAGUUUUGAGAAGCAGCUUUUUUCUGCUUCUACUUUUAGAGGUUGAAAAAUCAGUUUUCUAAUUCUUAGAAGUAGAAUCAGUUUUUAAAAUUUUCAUUGCCAAAUGCUUUACUGAGCCCAAAAUCACUUUUGGGCUCAGAAUCACUUUUAAAAAGCUUGGCCAAAC
RNAcentral lists this long non-coding RNA (1548 nucleotides) under Ananas comosus (pineapple). Its description in RNAcentral is "long non-coding RNA (ACOM_LNC016400)". Lineage: Eukaryota; Viridiplantae; Streptophyta; Magnoliopsida; Poales; Bromeliaceae. The record is from RNAcentral.